Molecule: ribosomal RNA, 137 nt
Filed under: uncultured bacterium
Lineage: Bacteria
Description: partial 16S ribosomal RNA
Rfam family: Bacterial small subunit ribosomal RNA
Source: RNAcentral
UGGGGAAUAUUGCACAAUGGGGGAAACCCUGAUGCAGCAACGCCGCGUGAGUGAAGAAGUAUUUCGGUAUGUAAAGCUCUAUCAGCAGGGAAGAAAAUGACAGUACCUGACUAAGAAGCCCCGGCUAACUACGUGCC